RNAcentral lists this ribosomal RNA (467 nucleotides) under uncultured bacterium. RNAcentral's name for it is "partial 16S ribosomal RNA". It matches the Rfam family "Bacterial small subunit ribosomal RNA", at positions 28 to 507 of the family's 1533-position model. The record is from RNAcentral.
GAUGAACGCUGGCGGCGUGCUUAACACAUGCAAGUCGAACGGUGAAGGCGGAGCUUGUUCUGCUGGAUCAGUGGCGAACGGGUGAGUAACACGUGAGCAAUCUGCCCCUGACUCUGGAUAAGCGUUGGAAACGGCGUCUAAUACUGGAUACGAGCUGCGAAGGCAUCUUCAGCAGCUGGAAAGAACUUCGGUCAGGGAUGAGCACGCGGCCUAUCAGCUUGUUGGUGAGGUAACGGCUCACCAAGGCGUCGACGGGUAGCCGGCCUGAGAGGGUGACCGGCCACACUGGGACUGAGACACGGCCCAGACUCCUACGGGAGGCAGCAGUGGGGAAUAUUGCACAAUGGGCGAAAGCCUGAUGCAGCAACGCCGCGUGAGGGACGACGGCCUUCGGGUUGUAAACCUCUUUUAGCAGGGAAGAAGCGAAAGUGACGGUACCUGCAGAAAAAGCGCCGGCUAACUACGUG